GGCCACGUAGCCAAGUAGUAAGGCGCGGGACUGCAAAUCCUGUAUGCGCGGGUGCGAUUCCCGCCGUGGCCU
This 72-nucleotide transfer RNA is filed under the name Minisyncoccota bacterium. Its description in RNAcentral is "tRNA-Cys". It matches the Rfam family "tRNA". From Rfam's summary of the family: Transfer RNA (tRNA) molecules are approximately 80 nucleotides in length. Their secondary structure includes four short double-helical elements and three loops (D, anti-codon, and T loops). RNAcentral also lists the same sequence under 1 other name. Lineage: Bacteria; Bacillati; Minisyncoccota. The record is from RNAcentral.